CUAAAUUUAUUCCGUUAGUAUAGUUAUUGUUAGAAUUUCUUAUUCCGUCACAUUUUUCAUUUUGUCUCUCGUCAUUAUCAUCAAAUUAACAAUGGCACAUGCCCCAAAUGCACACGCAUGUAUAUUUAAGAAAAAAGAGGGAAAACGAUUCAUCCCGAAAGAGAAGAGUAUGAGCAUAUGUGUACGUUUUCCUACUGGCGCGUGUGUACGCAUGCGCUCGAAAUACGUAAACCGUAACCGAGACCUGAAAUGAAACGCAAGCGCACCAAUUAAUUUAACACGUAUAUACACUUGCAUACGGGCAAUAAAUACAGUGACACGUUACAUACAUAUUAUAGCACGCAUACGUACCGGCACGUCGAGUGCGCAAAACAAGUGCGCCGAUAUAACGCGACAUCACGCGCAUGCGCGUAAGCGUAUUGGAAUCCGUAUCAUCGUUAACUACACCGGGGUGCGUAUGCGUGCAAGUAUGUAUAACCUAUUAUUGGCUGUAUUCCUUUAAAACUUUCUUUCGGUCUUUUUUGUUUUUUCUUUCCUUCUAACGUACGUUCAAUUUCUUUCGGACUAAAUAUAAAUGCCUAACUUUUUAUAUUUAGCAUUCGAUAUACCGCAUGCUUCGCUAGACACAGCCAAGAAUUUGAAUUGUUUACAAAUACGUAAAAAGGUAAUAACGUCAUCGCUAAUAACCCCCUAAAGAAAGUCGUAGUUUAGAAAGAAUUAUAAUUGGCAUUAAUCGAAUCAAUUUGUAGACAUCGUUUAUACUAAGGAUAUACAAAAUAGGUUUUAUAAUUUUAUGAAAUACACUUUAACCUCGAAUAAUUAAUCUUAUGCGAAAGUAAACGAACAAAUUUUCACGAAAAUUAUGUUUGACAAGAGAAAUAAAUAUUAACGAGAUUACAUUGUGAUCUCGUGCGGUUUCAAAAGAACACAGGCAAUAAGUGCAAUAAAGUACAUACGCGUUUGUGUAAUGAACAAAAAUUAAGCAUGAAAGUAAUAGGGGGUAAUGGAAGAAAUAAAGGAGAACAACAAUUUAAAACAAUUAAAUGUACAGACGGAAUAUAGUAAAACGGAAAGAUAUAACAAAAACAAACGAUGUAGAAGACGAUAGAAAAUCAACGUUUAAUAAAUAAAACACCGAAGAAGAUAAAUCGAUGACUCUGAGCACGGAAUAUAAUUUUUCCGGAGA
Molecule: long non-coding RNA, 1186 nt
Organism: Eufriesea mexicana
Lineage: Eukaryota; Metazoa; Arthropoda; Insecta; Hymenoptera; Apidae
Exons: 3
Source: RefSeq, a predicted model, not a curated record